RNA transcript from Drosophila albomicans, 552 nucleotides. RefSeq lists it as uncharacterized. The transcript has 3 exons. NCBI's taxonomy places the organism in Eukaryota, Metazoa, Arthropoda, Insecta, Diptera, Drosophilidae. The record is from RefSeq and is a predicted model, not a curated record.
CUUCAUCAUAUCUUUUCAGCAUAAUUGGCAUACAAACGCACAAUCGCAGCGCAAAUCUUGAGGAGAGGAAUCAUUUAUAAUCCAAUUGCAGAUUAAUGGGCUGCGUAAUCCAAUUCAUAUUCGUUGUCUGCCAAGCACACUUAACAUGGAUUCUUCUUGCUUGUGAAUGAUUUACAUUUUAAUCAGGCAACAAACAUUUAUAAUGCGGCACAGUUGCACAUCACAUCAUCAUCAUCAGAAGGAAGGCCACUCAAGAGGCAACCAGGGAGGAGGUGCUAAGUGCUACUCAAAUGUGGCACAAGGUGCAGCACUCUGCUCCGCUCUGUUACGGAUAGAUUACCCCAAGACUGGGUUACCAAAUUAAGGCGCCAACUAGAAGCACACGCCAACAAACCAAUUAUCACCUCAAAGUGUUUAACUGUGAGAUACAAUGCCUUUAACCAAACACAAUGAGAAUUAGUAAAUAAUUUGAAAUGCCUUAGUUUCUAUGUAAAAAAUUGUACUAAUAUAUUUUUAAAAUUGCAUUAUAUUUUAUAUACAUAUAUGUAUGUA